GAAGCAAGCAAAGCUUAUUUGAGACCUCAAAGCGGUGCUGGAGACUUAGCACGCCUCAGAUCCAGCACCCCUAAAACAGCAGUCUUACCUGCAGGAGACACCA
Molecule: non-coding RNA, 103 nt
Organism: Chelonoidis abingdonii (Abingdon island giant tortoise)
Lineage: Eukaryota; Metazoa; Chordata; Testudines; Testudinidae
Source: RefSeq, a predicted model, not a curated record